UGCAUGUUGGUUCUACUC
RNAcentral lists this non-coding RNA (18 nucleotides) under Arabidopsis thaliana (thale cress). Lineage: Eukaryota; Viridiplantae; Streptophyta; Magnoliopsida; Brassicales; Brassicaceae. The record is from RNAcentral.